This 139-nucleotide ribosomal RNA is filed under the name uncultured eukaryote. RNAcentral's name for it is "partial 18S ribosomal RNA". It matches the Rfam family "Eukaryotic small subunit ribosomal RNA", at positions 1299 to 1458 of the family's 1831-position model. The record is from RNAcentral.
CGGUGAGGUGACUUGGCUGGUUAAUUCCGAUAACGGACGAGACCUCGACCUACUAACUAGUGAUUCUUUACUUCCGUAAAGCAAAAGCUACUUAGAGGGACUUUGGGAGUCUAUUCCAAGGAAGUUCGAGCCUAUAACA